AAUAGACUACCCGGUAGUCCACGCCGUAAACGAUGAGUGCUAAGUGUUAGAGGGUUUCCGCCCUUUAGUGCUGCAGCUAACGCAUUAAGCACUCCGCCUGGGGAGUACGGUCGCAAGACUGAAACUCAAAGGAAUUGACGGGGGCCCGCACAAGCGGUGGAGCAUGUGGUUUAAUUCGAAGCAACGCGAAGAACCUUACCAGGUCUUGACAUCCUCUGACAACUCUAGAGAUAGAGCGUUCCCCUUCGGGGGACAGAGUGACAGGUGGUGCAUGGUUGUCGUCAGCUCGUGUCGUGAGAUGUUGGGUUAAGUCCCGCAACGAGCGCAACCCUUGAUCUUAGUUGCCAGCAUUUAGUUGGGCACUCUAAGGUGACUGCCGGUGACAAACCGGAGGAAGGUGGGGAUGACGUCAAAUCAUCAUGCCCCUUAUGACCUGGGCUACACACGUGCUACAAUGGAUGGUACAAAGGGCUGCAAGACCGCGAGGUCAAGCCAAUCCCAUAAAACCAUUCUCAGUUCGGAUUGUAGG
RNAcentral lists this ribosomal RNA (529 nucleotides) under uncultured bacterium. RNAcentral describes it as "bacterial SSU rRNA". It matches the Rfam family "Bacterial small subunit ribosomal RNA", at positions 777 to 1304 of the family's 1533-position model. The record is from RNAcentral.